This is a non-coding RNA of Vicia faba (fava bean), 369 nucleotides long. The record is from the annotation of a GenBank genome assembly. Lineage: Eukaryota; Viridiplantae; Streptophyta; Magnoliopsida; Fabales; Fabaceae.
CCGGUAUUUUACAAAGACAGUUUGGUAAAAGUGUCUAUAGUGGGGGAGACAUCUAUAAAAAUUGGGGUGGCAUGUUUAUUUCUCUUCCUCCCCUACGAGUUUAUCAAAAUUUUCCCACCUCUUGUCUUUCUACUUCAUGUUUACAAAUUUCCAUAUACUCUCAGUCUCUAUCUAAGCUUUCAAACCCAUGACGGUGCAUGUAAUGUGAGUGAAUAUAUUGCAAGCAUACACUUGUCUGUUGAUGCCAGAAGAAAAACAUGGUAUCUUCAUAUAUUACUUUCAUUGCCAGAACAAGGUGUAUCAUUAGUGUCGUCCACAGGGAAAAUGACAAAUCAAGUACCACACAAUGUUCGGUUGUUGAAAAAGUGA